RNAcentral lists this ribosomal RNA (443 nucleotides) under uncultured bacterium. RNAcentral's name for it is "partial 16S ribosomal RNA". It matches the Rfam family "Bacterial small subunit ribosomal RNA", at positions 338 to 795 of the family's 1533-position model. The record is from RNAcentral.
CCUACGGGAGGCUGCAGUGGGGAAUAUUGGGCAAUGGGCGCAAGCCUGACCCAGCAACGCCGCGUGAAGGAAGAAGGCUUUCGGGUUGUAAACUUCUUUUCUCAGGGACGAAGAAAGUGACGGUACCUGAGGAAUAAGCCACUGCUAACUACGUGCCAGCAGCCGCGGUAAUACGUAGGGGGCAAGCGUUAUCCGGAUUUACUGGGUGUAAAGGGCGUGUAGGCGGGAAAGCAAGUCAGAUGUGAAAACCAUGGGCUCAACCUGUGGCCUGCAUUUGAAACUGUUUUUCUUGAGUACUGGAGAGGCAGACGGAAUUCCGCGUGUAGCGGUGAAAUGCGGAGAUAUGAGGAGGAACACCAGUGGCGAAGGCGGUCUGCUGGACAGCAACUGACGCUGAGGCGCGAAAGCGUGGGGAGCAAACAGGAUUAGAUACCCCAGUAGUC